This is a long non-coding RNA of Triticum aestivum (bread wheat), 289 nucleotides long. RefSeq lists it as uncharacterized. Lineage: Eukaryota; Viridiplantae; Streptophyta; Magnoliopsida; Poales; Poaceae. The transcript is spliced from 2 exons. The record is from RefSeq and is a predicted model, not a curated record.
AACCAGCUCAAUGGACGGCAUUCUAAUUGAGCUAGGAUGUCGUACUGAUCUCCAAUCUCCAGGGAGAAUUAAGUUUGGGUCUUCUUCAGGAGACAUGUGCAAGAAGCAAAGGACAUGCUUGGCUGUUUGCCAAAGUUGAAAUAAGUUGAAAUAACUUCCAUUUCUUAUGAUGAUUGCUACUCCAUGUAUAUUUUCCUGGUAAUGGACUUCUUUAUAGUCCAGAUUUAAGUGCCACGUAAGAAUUUUAUUCUCCCUGUGGAGAUUUUAAGAUGCGCCAACUUUUUCUCAA